Rattus rattus (black rat) is the source of this 1764-nucleotide long non-coding RNA. RefSeq lists it as uncharacterized. The transcript is spliced from 5 exons. The record is from RefSeq and is a predicted model, not a curated record. NCBI's taxonomy places the organism in Eukaryota, Metazoa, Chordata, Mammalia, Rodentia, Muridae.
CAGUUGACUUCCUGCAAGAUGGUGUUUGUCUCUGAAAUGUGUCAAUUCAUGUACAACUGUGGAGAGAUAAUGUAUGACCUGAAAGAGGACACAUCAAGCCACAACAGGAUCAUGAAGGAAAUCUGGGGAGAUCUCAACAGCUUCGUGACAGUCUUAAUCUUUGGUAUAAUUGUCUAAAUUGAUGGAACAUCUUUUAUUAACUGAUGGAGGUGCAUCCUGCCCUUUCAGAAGUCAAAUAAACAGUUUGAAUUUCCUGCUGGCGAAGGGGCCCUGGUGAUGAUUUGAAUGCCUGCAGCUUUCUAUCCCUGUGACCAGACCAGACAUGUUCCUAUCAUCUGCAUCCUCACAGGAGGGACAAGCCCUCACCUGCGUAUAGACAUCAACCCACAGGAAACAUCUCAGGAGAGGAGUUAGCAGGACCAAAUCAGAUCUACAUGCAAGACUGGAUCAGAAUGCAAAGCUCCUGUUGGCUCUGCCUCUCAAUCCCACCUACGUUUUUACCUCAUGGUGGGUCCCACGUUGGUCAUUGUGGUUGGUCCAUCCAAAAGAAUCUAGAAUAUUCAGAACCACUCUAACUUAUUACUGUGUGUUCACUACUGUCAGAGGUCUGGGAAAGCCAGUCCUCAGCUUACCUUGGUGGCAAAUGUCUCCAGUAUGUCUGGUCGUUAUGCUUCACGUCUCUGUCUGGAGUAUAGGCUCAGAUUUAAGGAGUUUAAGAUCACAUCCUGGGUUUCUACACUUUCAUUUUGUGUCCUGUAAAACUCUCCCCCUUGACAUUGCAGGAAGUGAAGAGAGAUGGAGGAGCACUCCGCGACCAAGCCUACUCUGUGUUUGGCGCUCUUUCUUAGUUCUUUGUUCUAUGAAGCCCCACAGCAUUCUGUAAUGGUUCUCGGGGUUCUGGGAGCCUCCUUAAGUAUUAGUGGUCUGGUGGGGAGAGUUUCUCUCAAGCCUACUCUAUCUGUGAAUGGUGGCCAGCACUUCUCUCCGCAAUUCUGAGGAAAGGAAGAGUAAAUUAAGGCUGUCCCCCAAACCUACAUGACUCCACAAGAAGUACCUAAGCAGACAAGAAGGAAUAUUAAAACACUAUAGAUGAUUACAUGUAGAGAGUUGAGGGGAGUUGAUCACUUAUUCAUCUUUUGUCCAAGUCAAAGAGUUUCUUUGGGAGAGAGGCUUCUGCCCACUGAUUAAUAAUCAACAUUUGGAAGGAAGCACGCUGUCUGAUUGACAACUCCUCAAAAGGGCUUCAUUGUAACUCAGUUCAGCUCACCUGUAGCAAAUGACUUUCUUCAAAUCAUCUUGGAUUCCUGGAAGUACUGAUCUUUCCUUCUCCUAUGGACACACACACACACACACACACACACACACACACACACACACACACACACAAUUGCAAGGCUCUCACACCAAAAGAGAUAAAAAGUUUAUUCUGAAGCCAAAUGUAUCUGAUCAUGGCUGAGGAAACACAGAUCUAAGUUAUGCCAGGCUCCAUGUCCACACUUGGAUGCUGCUUCACGGAGUUUCAUAGUAACCGAGCAAAGAAUGUCAUAAAUUAAGGCAAUCCAGGACUCGAGCCUAGGGAACCCAUAUUUUAGGUAGGUCUUCCUAUCUUAGUAAACCUAAUGAAGAUGAUCCCUCACAGUCAACCCCAGGGAUUAAUCUAAUCUAGAUAAUCCCUCAAGGGAGUGCCUAUAGGCUCCCAGUUAAUCCCAUCGCUUAUCAAGUUGGUUGUCCAUAUGAAGUCACACACACACACACACACACACA